Long non-coding RNA from Megalopta genalis, 1060 nucleotides. RefSeq lists it as uncharacterized. NCBI's taxonomy places the organism in Eukaryota, Metazoa, Arthropoda, Insecta, Hymenoptera, Halictidae. The record is from RefSeq and is a predicted model, not a curated record.
UGGUACGACUAUACGGCAGCAACAUUCGCAGAUACGUUCUGCAUCCGUUAGCUCGGAGCAUGGCCGAUCGUGAGCCACGACCGAGCACCACCGGUUGCCCUAAGUUUCAGCCUGGGCCGCGGAUCUCGCCGGUUAUGUUUCCACUCGGUGCCGUCGAUCGGCUCGUUUCCACGCGAAAUCUCGGCUGCCAUUAAUUCAGCGCCGGCUGACAGCACUCCGAGCUUCCUCUUCCAGCGAUCCGUUCGCUCGCCCUCGACAACCCCCGUCGAAAGAGAGCCGGCAAGAAGAAAGAGAGAGCCGGUGGAACAGCGCAAAAGAGAGAGAGAGAGAGAGAGAGAGAGAGAGAGAACGGUCUCGACGCGAUGGGUCGUCGGGGUGACCGGCAAUUUGUUUCUAAAUUUAUUACCGAUCACCGAUAUUCCGUUCUCCAUGCCCUCCUCCUCAACCCUUCCUCGCUUUGCGUCGGUGAUAUCGAAUUGGGAUCGAGACUCGAGUGCUUGAAACCAUCCACUAGGAUGAUUCGUUGGUUCCUGCGGCUGGGGGUUGGUACCAGGGGUCAGUCUCGGGGUUACUGUAAUAAAUAUCGGGAAAGCUGAUUGCGAAGCUCGAUGCGUUUCGGACCAUCCUGGAUCGUGGCUGCCUCGAGAAUGUUGUCCCUUUUGUUGCCUUCCAUGCGCAACCCUUUAUCUUCGCCAGGAGAACAGGCACCCAAAGCGAACGAAUUUUUCUCAAUGCGGAGUUACAUUUAAUCCAACUGUUUCGAUCUCCAGUCUGCCAGAAAUUGAACAACUGUUGCCUUUAGAUGCCUUUGCGAUGCAUCGAUCAUUUCCUCAAACAUCCCUACAGUAGAGUACAAGCUUUCCUUUCUGGAUUGAUGCAAUCCUUCGGCUGCUGUCACUGCAACUGUGACAGGAAGUCCCAGGAUAUUUGGACGCUAUGGACAACUGACGGUACACUCGCAGACUGCUGAAGCAGCGCGCUCAACUUUACUAUUUUUUUUAAUUUCAAGGCGUAAACAUAAUCUACUAAGUAUAAUAAAGCUACACGAGUAUAAUAAGCA